GUCAAAUCUAAUCCCUAAUAAGGAUAUUAAAAGAUUUUGUAGAGCCUUCAUGGUAUUUUUUAAUUCGGGGGAAUCCCCACCAAAUAUGUGAAAAGGAGCUGUCAUUAACUACACAUCUCCAGCAAGUUUGUGACAAAUUAGAGUAAAUUUUGUGUAGUCUAACAGGGUUUAAAUGCCAAUGCAAUGUUAAUUUAUACAGGGUUUUUAUUAAAUUCAUACUGUGUAUGUUCUUCCUUACUAGCAACAAGCCCUUUAUCCAACCCUCGUAGUUCAAUUCAACAUUCAUCUCCUUUUCCCAUUUAAUCCAUGGUAAAAAAAUUCUUGUGGCUGCAAUUGUGUAAAGAGAUUGGAAACUCUAG
Molecule: non-coding RNA, 359 nt
Organism: Pelobates cultripes (western spadefoot toad)
Lineage: Eukaryota; Metazoa; Chordata; Amphibia; Anura; Pelobatidae
Source: the annotation of a GenBank genome assembly